Piliocolobus tephrosceles (Ugandan red Colobus) is the source of this 645-nucleotide long non-coding RNA. RefSeq lists it as uncharacterized. The transcript is spliced from 2 exons. The record is from RefSeq and is a predicted model, not a curated record. Lineage: Eukaryota; Metazoa; Chordata; Mammalia; Primates; Cercopithecidae.
GUAACUGCAUGCUUCAUUAUAUUAUUAUGAAUUAUAUUAUUAUUAUCAUUAUUUGGAAUGAUCACUUUCUUAGAUGUUUUCCUUUAAAAAAACACAAAAAAUGAAUCUUUCGUAUAUAUCCACUUAACAAAUGAGUAAAAUACAAAUCAGUGCAAAUCACGACCAUCCUGUCUCCACUUCAGACAUCUGCAGUGUAUCAUGCCUUUGCAGUAUUCUACGCUUGUUGUCAACAAUAUUCAACAGGGAAAACAUCUAAGACAGUGAUCAUUCCAAAGAAGUGGAAACCCUAGAUAUAUUAAAAAGUAAAACGAAAUCCUGUCUCAGACUGCAGCACUGUUAAGCCUAAGGGACAUUGUGCAAGGUGAAGAUAGCCAGUCACAGAAAGACAAAUACUGUAUAAUUCUACUUAUUAAAUGAGAUAUCUAGAGUGGUUGAGUUCAUGUAAUCAAAGAGUGAAAUGGUGGUUGCUAGGGUUUGAGGGGAGAGGAAAAAGGGAAGUUGUUUUUUAGUGGAUAUAUGAUGGAUAUACAAUAAUGACAAGAAUGUAAACUAGUAAAGUAAAAAACAAAGAUAAAUAGAAAACAACCAGGACAGAAAGUACAAUUCACUGAAGAAAAAAAAAAAAAAAAAAAGAUGGAAGGGAGA